GACGAACGCUGGCGGCGUGCCUAAUACAUGCAAGUCGAACGCACUCUCGUUUAGAUUGACGGAGUUUGCUCCUGAUUGAUAAACAUUUGAGUGAGUGGCGGACGGGUGAGUAACACGUGGGUAACCUGCCCUAAAGUGGGGGGUAACAUUUGGAAACAGAUGCUAAUACCGCAUAAAACCUAACACCGCAUGGUGUAGGGUUGAAAGAUGGUUUCGGCUAUCACUUUAGGAUGGACCCGCGGUGCAUUAGUUAGUUGGUGAGGUAAAGGCUCACCAAGACCGUGAUGCAUAGCCGACCUGAGAGGGUAAUCGGCCACACUGGGACUGAGACACGGCCCAGACUCCUACGGGAGGCAGCAGUAGGGAAUCUUCCACAAUGGACGAAAGUCUGAUGGAGCAACGCCGCGUGAGUGAAGAAGGUUUUCGGAUCGUGAAACUCUGUUGUUGGAGAAGAAUGUAUCUGAUAGUAACUGAUCAGGUAGUGACGGUAUCCAACCAGAAAGCCACGGCUAACUACGUG
RNAcentral lists this ribosomal RNA (520 nucleotides) under uncultured bacterium. RNAcentral's name for it is "partial 16S ribosomal RNA". It matches the Rfam family "Bacterial small subunit ribosomal RNA", at positions 28 to 507 of the family's 1533-position model. The record is from RNAcentral.